GGGGAAUAUUGGACAAUGGACCAAAAGUCUGAUCCAGCAAUUCUGUGUGCACGAUGAAGUUUUUCGGAAUGUAAAGUGCUUUCAGUUGGGAAGAAGUCAGUGACGGUACCAACAGAAGAAGCGACGGCUAAAUACGUGCCAGCAGCCGCGGUAAUACGUAUGUCGCAAGCGUUAUCCGGAUUUAUUGGGCGUAAAGCGCGUCUAGGCGGCUUAGUAAGUCUGAUGUGAAAAUGCGGGGCUCAACCCCGUAUUGCGUUGGAAACUGCUAAACUAGAGUACUGGAGAGGUAGGCGGAACUACAAGUGUAGAGGUGAAAUUCGUAGAUAUUUGUAGGAAUGCCGAUGGGGAAGCCAGCCUACUGGACAGAUACUGACGCUAAAGCGCGAAAGCGUGGGUAGCAAACAGGAUUAGAUACCCUGGUAGUCCACGCCGUAAACGAUGAUUACUAGGUGUUGGGGGUCGAACCUCAGCGCCCAAGCUAACGCGAUAAGUAAUCCGCCUGGGGAGUACGUACGCAAGUAUGAAACUCAAAGGAAUUGACGGGGACCCGCACAAGCGGUGGAGCAUGUGGUUUAAUUCGACGCAACGCGAGGAACCUUACCAGCGUUUGACAUCCCAAGAAGUUAACAGAGAUGUUUUCGUGCCUCUUCGGAGGAACUUGGUGACAGGUGGUGCAUGGCUGUCGUCAGCUCGUGUCGUGAGAUGUUAGGUUAAGUCCCGCAACGAGCGCAACCCCUUUCGUAUGUUACCAUCAUUAAGUUGGGGACUCAUGCGAGACUGCCUGCGAUGAGCAGGAGGAAGGUGGGGAUGACGUCAAGUCAUCAUGCCCCUUAUACGCUGGGCUACACACGUGCUACAAUGGGUAGUACAGAGAGCUGCAAACCUGCGAGGGUAAGCUAAUCUCAUAAAACUAUUCUUAGUUCGGAUUGUACUCUGCAACUCGAGUACAUGAAGUUGGAAUCGCUAGUAAUCGCAAAUCAGCUAUGUUGCGGUGAAUACGUUCUCG
RNAcentral lists this ribosomal RNA (1006 nucleotides) under uncultured bacterium. RNAcentral's name for it is "bacterial SSU rRNA". It matches the Rfam family "Bacterial small subunit ribosomal RNA", at positions 356 to 1376 of the family's 1533-position model. The record is from RNAcentral.